GUACUCACUUGACGCAGCCCAUACACUAAAAUUGGAACGAUACAGAGAAGAUUAGGAUGGCCCCUGCGCAAGGAUGACAUGCAAAUUCAUGAAGCAUUCCAUAUUUUU
Molecule: small nuclear RNA, 108 nt
Filed under: Heterocephalus glaber (naked mole-rat)
Lineage: Eukaryota; Metazoa; Chordata; Mammalia; Rodentia; Bathyergidae
Source: RNAcentral